Fukomys damarensis (Damara mole-rat) is the source of this 46-nucleotide non-coding RNA. The record is from Rfam. NCBI's taxonomy places the organism in Eukaryota, Metazoa, Chordata, Mammalia, Rodentia, Bathyergidae.
CAAAUGGUUCUUCUAAGAUCCACACAUUUCUUGAUGUACACAUUUU